Aedes albopictus (Asian tiger mosquito) is the source of this 27841-nucleotide RNA transcript. RefSeq lists it as uncharacterized. The transcript has 2 exons. The record is from RefSeq and is a predicted model, not a curated record. NCBI's taxonomy places the organism in Eukaryota, Metazoa, Arthropoda, Insecta, Diptera, Culicidae.
UAGAAUAAAAUCGUUUAAUUGUCAAAGAUUGAUUCCUUCGAUCUUAGAGGUAUCCUUGAAGGUAUUUCUUCCGUAAUCCGAGCAGGAAAUUCUAGAGAAUCCUAUCAGGCAUUCCUGAAGGCAUUUACAGAGAAAUUUUUGAAGAAAUUCUUGUUGGGAUUGCUUUAGAUGGUGCUCCCAGGGUUCCUGUACAAAUGCUUCCUGUGAUACUUUCAAGGAUUCCUCCAGAGAUUUUUGUAAGGAUAAUUUUUAUAGGAAUCCUUAUUAAAAUUAUUCUUGCGAUUCCUCCCACGAUUUCUUCAAGCAAUCCUAAACAAAUUUCUUGAAGAAUAUAAUCAUAUACAGGGUGUUAGGUUCCUGAGUGCAAACUUUUUAAAGGGUGAUAGAGGACCAUGAAUGGUAAAAAAAUUGUUCUACGCAUAUGGUCAAAUCUCAACCGUUUCGUAGUUAUUGAACUCCCCAUGUUUUUGACUCGUAUUGCCGUAACUGGGUAUAGCUUUAAAAUGGUCAAACUUAUCGCAGUUUUUUUACCCCUAUUCGAAAGAUUAUUGAAAUUUCUAUCAAAUGGCAUGUUUGAAUCGAUUGUUUUAGUUAAAUAACUGAGUUUUCUGGAGCAAAAUAGCUAAAAAUAGUGUGUUUUAAUUUGAUUAUGUCGAUUAUCUUUGAAAGAUGCGUAAUGAAUUAAAAUUCUUUCUUUGGCAAAAUUGUGGCCCCUGUUCCACUCUACAAUUCGUUCUUUGACGCCAAACUUCUAACUCUUUUCGUUUUCUUGCAAUUUUGAUUUAAAUGUGCGGCACAGUGCGCAAAAAAGUGCUUACCAUGACGAUUGCAAAUUUAUGAUCUGAAAUGCGGCGUUUAAAUCUAAAUUGCAAGAAAACGGUAAGAGAUAGAACUUUGAUGUCAAAGAACGAACUGUAGAGUGGAACAGGGGCCACAACUUUGCCAAAGAAAGAAUUUUAAAUUAUCAAGCAUUUUUCAAAGAUAAUUGACAAAAACAAAUUAAAACACACUACUUUAAAGCUAUUUGCUCUAGAAAACUUAGUUAUUUAACUAAACCAAUCGGUUCAAAGAUGCCAUUUGAUAGAAAUUUCAAUAAUUUUCCGAAUAAGGAUAAAAAAACUGCGAUAAGUUUGACCAUUUUAAAGUUAUAGCCAGUUAAGGCAAUAAGAGUAAACAACAUGGGGAGUUCAGUAACUACGUAACGGUUGAGAUUUGACCAUAUGCGUAGAACAUUUUUUUUCACCAUUCAGGGUCCUCUAUCACCCUUUAAAAAGUUUGCACUCAGGAACCUAACACCCUGUAUUUCUACUAGGAUUUCUCCACAAGUUCUUGCUGAGAUUUUUCAAGUAUUUUUAGCUGGGAUUUCUCCAGUUAUUACUCUUGGGUGUCCUCCAAGAAUUUCAGGAGGAUUCCCAGCAGGAAUUGCCCGAGGAAUUCCAGCAAACUUUCUGGUGGAUUCUACUAGGAAUUGUGAAAUUAAAUUUUAGCAGCAUUCCUGGAUCGUGGCGAGAACUUCUGAAAGAAUCACAAGCGGUUUUCCUCCAGCAAUUAUCGGAAAAAAUUCGAAGUAAUCCUCCGUCAGAGGCUUCUUCUUCUUCUUCUUUAUGACGUUCGCAUUGGAAUUUGGCCUGCCUUUCUUCAACUUAGUGUUCUUAGAGCACUUCCACAGUUAUUAAUUGAUAGGCUUUCUUUGUCUGCCAUUGCAUGAAUUUGUACAUUGCGUGGCAAGUACAAUGAUACUCUACCCUGAUAACAAUUGGAUGCUGUACAAACGUUUCUCCAAGUAUUUUAAAUCAACCUUCAUUUGAACAAAAGCUGAGCACAAGAAGUACAAUUCUUUAUUCAGUUCCAUAACAUCUAAUUUUGGCGAUUUUAUUCAACCUAUAGCUGAUUUGAGGUUCUUUAAAAGGCUGUUUUAUGGCUUAAUAUGCGCUUAAUCAGUAAUCAAAUAAAUUUAUUAAUUGUGUAGAAAUAAAAAUAAAAACACUUUAGUGAGUCUAUUUUUAUCAUUAUCCCCAGAGAUGUUUUGAAAUCUAUAAAUGAAUCGAUAGGAAAACUGAGAACUUAACUCGGACCUCAUGAUUUAUAGUCACUCACCUUAGCCUUUAUACCACAGAUUAUUGCAUACGUAUGCUUGAAAACAAGGGCAUUACUUGUUGUAUCUGAAUAGUCAAGAACAUUAGAACUAAGGCUGUAUUAAGGCUGAACAAGCGAUGUUGACUUCACAAAAAUAUGCUUGGGUCAGCUGUCAAAAAAAUAUUUGAUUAAAGGUUGAACAACGGAUGAUUAGUUCUGCAUGUCAGUGUAUGCUUUCAAGCUGGUUACACAGAUGAAGAAUAUGCUAUUCAACUUGAUAUUCAGUCAUCUAUGUAUUGCUGAUUAAACAGGUUGAACAAGCCAUACUUCAGAUCAAUAUUCAUCUAUCAUUGUGUUCAGCCACUGACACCAUUAAACAGCCAAUGCUCAGGUAAUACUCUCACUGUACAGCAUUUGUUGUUACUUGGAUAUGCUCAGGGAGUUGAGAAAAUUACCCCGACCGGAACGGAAACUGAACCCGCCGUCUCCGAAUUGGCGAUCGAUAGCCUUAACUACUAGGCUAUUUGAAGAACCAGAGCCGUCAGACCUUCGCUUAUUCUUCUAUUCCAUACUUUCUUGUAGAGUCAAAGACAUCCAUGAAGUGGCAGCCGUCCGCACAAGGUCGAUUUGUUUUCUUGGUUGAAGAACUCGAUGGAGAAUCGCUGUUCUUAAAAAUUACUUCCUCAACUGACCCCCUUCCUUCGUCUUACUAAUGGUUUGAUGAGCAUCGACCCACUAAAGUAACAUGCAAGUUCGUUUCUUUGUUGCGCCAAAUUCGAGCAGCUACCUUAAGAACCGCAUGCUUUCUCUCACCGACCGUCAUCAAUUAUCAUGGUUGUUGAUCCAACUGCAUUCAUCCUGUCUGCUGCCGUCGCGAUCGUGAGGAUGAAUUUCAAACGAAGAAAAGAGCGACGACCGGCGUCGUCGUCGUCGUUGUACCUAAUGCCACUAAGCGCGGGUGCGCGUCUCGCGAGAGCGUUUCGCGCUCGCACUUGAACACCUCCAUCCAAACAGCGAACAACGGUCACCGCGGGACGACGACGGAGCAGACGGUUUAGUUCGAACGCAGUCGCGGUUCGGUUCGUAGCUCGCGCCAAGCGAGAGAGGGUAGUAGCUCUAGCUAGCAGCCUAGCAGCCUAGAUCUUUGCCUAAGGAUAUCUUUGCCUGUAGGAAAAUUGACUUGGUCGCGCCCGUUAAAACAGGAAAAACAGUCGUCGCGCGUGGACAAAAGGAUUGGGCAUUAAUCGUCGCGGUCCGUCGACAAAGUGUGCUUGCUGGCGGUUUGACUGGUGGAAGAAUUUUCCUCCGUGGGAGGAUUGUUUGCAAUAUACUUUGGCAGGGAAUUUUCUCUGACUAACAUACAUAAGUAUACCCAGUGGAAGGCAGAAGAAGAUUUGUUAAAAAACGUGUAGCGGCGGUGGCGGCGCGUCGAAAGAAGAAAGUGUCGGUCCAAAAGAAUCCACUCAAACGAUCUCGUUUGCACGUUUUUCCCGCACACGCAUGUUGGCUUGGCUUCUGAUGUGCUUACAGCUAGCCAGCCUAGAGGGGUGAAAAAUCCGAGUGAUUCAGUUUGUUGUUUAUAAAUAUUUUGAACGCUUCCGAACGUGGAUCUCUCAGCUGGAUCGUCUGGAUUAAUACUCUUGUUGAACGAGUGUGGUGAAGAAAAAUCGAAUCGAAGACGUUCUCAGGAAAAGCGAGUGGAUAUGCCCAGUGGUGUGAAUGAUCCGGCAGCUGAGUAAACGUCUAAACAUUCCGUCUAAAGCCAAUCGAUUACCCGUAUGUCUCGGCUUCCACUGUAUUAAAAAGUGAAACGACCUCUCGUCAGAAAAAAAAGAGCAGAAGAAGUGUGUUUAGUGUUCGCGUAUCCCAACAGCCGAUCAGAGUGCACAGCAACUCCAGAACAGCAGCAGCAGCUAAUGAAAAGUAUUCCACUAACAAUCCGUCCGGAAAAUCUCAUCACCCAAUCAACCCAAUCCACCCGACAACGCGAGUUGGUGGUGGCAUCAAGUGGUUUCGUAAGUGUGAUUUGCACAUAUUUUUUUUACCAACUCUACUGCUGAUGUGAUUGUCUGCAACUUAUCGGGAAGACGCAACCUUGUGGAGGUGUUGUUUUCGUAUGAAUUGGAACGUGCUGUGUGGGGGCGUCGUCGCGUCGCUUCGUGGUGGUCCAGAUGUCAUUCAUUCUAUGGCUUGAAGGGGAGGAUUAGAAAUUCCCAACGGUUGCAGCAGGUUGUUGUGGUAUGUGACAAAACGAGGGGUUUAAGAUUGUGACUAGACAUCAGAGACUUGAGUUUCGAAGCUAUCUUAUCAGACGACAGUUUCAAUUGUUUCAACGGGUGGGGGGGAGGUAUUCUGUUAUCGUCUAGCUACCGCCUUUAUCACCUGAUCACGGGGAAUGAACUUUCUCGCAGCGUGCUUGCUAGAAAUAAUUUUAUCUUUUAUAAUUUUAGCAUCACGUAAUCUGAGCAAUACUUACAGCAAUUUAUGGUGUUUUUGUUUGAUUCGACCUAUUUUGAGAAAUCAAAGCCCACGAUGAUUCAAUUUCAUAACACGAUAUGAAUGAAUAUAUCUACAUUUCGGUUCCUUUGCGUAAAUUUAUUAGUUACAGGUUACCAGUGGCGUAGCUAGGAAUUUGAGGGCCCGGUGCGGUACCAAAUUUGUGGGCCCCAUGAUAAUUACAGAUAUACAUAUUUUACAAUGUUAAAUCUAUUCUUCUAACUCUCAAAUAAUCACGCCGUUGUAUUUUGUACAAAGCGUUAAAAAAAUCUCGACUUGUCAACAUUAGCGUGGCCAACUGACUGACCAACUGACUGGCCAACUGACUGACUGAAGGUUAAACAAUAUUUUCUGUAUUCCUUCAAGAAUGUCUUCGAAGAUUUCUGCAAGGAUACAUCCCGGAGUUCCAUCAAUGAACGUAAUUUUUUUCUAAGAAUAAUGACGAUUUUUUAACAUUUUUUUAUGAAUUGCAUUAAGUAAUCCUUUCUUUCAAAGAUUGCUUUAUCAUUUUCUUUGAAAAAAUCUUUCUUGAAUAAUAAUUUGUCUUCAAGAAUGUUUCAAGUAAUUCAUGAAUGGGUGUCAUUCAAUAUUUCUCCAAACACUCUUUCAUGUAUUCUUACAGUGUUGUCUCCGUGGAUGUUUUCAAAAGUACUUCAGAGUACUUCAAAACAUUCUUGCAAAGGCUUCAAAGUCCUUUUAGAUUUUUUUCAAAUCCUCCAAGAAAUUUCAAAAGAAUCCAUUGGAUAAUAAUUUUUAAAAAAUCUACCAAGGAUCCCUACAGAAGUUCUUCUAAGAAAAUUCUGAGAGGAACUUCUGUUGGAAUUCUUUCCAAAAAACCUUCUGGAUUUCUUCCAAAAAAUUCUUUAGAAUUCAUCUACUCUACGAGUUUCCCCAAGGAUUCCUUCAGGAAUUCUUGCUAGCAUUCCUCUAAGAACUCUUCUAAAAAUUUCUAUUGUGACUUUUGAUCAGACUCCUUAGAAAUUCUUUCGAAAAACUCUCAUACUCAUUCCGAAAUAAAAACAUUCAAAGUUACCUUCAACAUCUCAGUCAAGCAUUUCUCCAUGAUUUAUUAUUGAUUCCUCCAGAAGUUCCUCUGAAAUUUCGUCCAAAAAAAUCUUCGAGGAUUCCUGUUAGGGUCAACGUGUCUUGGUAAUCCUACAAUCUCAAAUUCAUCCUUUUCCAAAACAAAGCAAUUACCGCGCCGAUUGAUUACGUAAUUUUUGUUAUCAUUCGUGCUCACUUCUAACAAAAAUAUAAACAAGCGCUUCAUUACUUUGUUUUCAGUAGGAUAAAAAUAGGAGCGUAUAUGCUUACAUAAUAAAUGAUUUGAUAAGAUAAAAUCAAAUGAUUUCUUCAGAAGUUUCUACAAGGAUUCCUCCUAAGACUGUUUUGCCACUUUCUUCGAGAAAUCUUUAAGAAUACCUUGAAGCAUCUUUUAAGUGAUUAAUGCAAGUUUAAGAUUUCAUAUAGGGUACCCAUCAAGAAUUGUUCAGGAAUCGCUCCAAAAAUUCCUACGGGAUUUUUUCCAAGAAUUUCUUAAAUUUUUCUUCAAACAAAUCUUUCGGAAUUUCUUCAAAUAUCUAAUUAGGAACCUCUGCGAAGGUUUUAUCAAUCGGCAAAGAAUGCUUGCUUAAUUUAUUCAAUAAUUUCUCCAAGAGCUCUAUAAAAGAUUACUUUUGGGCUUUUUCCAGGGAUUGCUUUAGGAAUUCUACCAAGGAUUUAUUGAAAAUUCUAAAAGAAUUCCUUCUAAGAUGCUUUAGAAAUUCAUCCCAAACUUUCUUCAGGAGUUUUUCCAAAGAUUUAUUUAUUUGUUCAUCCAAUAAAUUCUCUUGCGAUUUCUUCAAAGAUUCAACUGAUUCAAAUAAAAAAAAAUGAAGGAAUUCUUUCAAGAAUUCUCACAGAAAUUCCCCAAAGAACAGUGGCAAAUAAAAAAAAAUCUACUGGUAUUCCUUCAAACAAUUUUUGUGUUUUUUUAGGAAAUUGUUUGUGGACUUCCUUAGAUUUUCGGAAAUUCCUUAGAUAAUUCGUUGAGAUUUUCUUCGGCCGUUCCAUUGUAAAUGCUUGUUUUUUUUUUUUAAUUCGCAAGAGUGUAUCUCAUAAAAUCUCAAAAGUAACAAUAGACGGAAAUCCGUAAGGAAUUAUCAAAUGAAAUUUCCACAGGAAUUACCAAAGAAAUUUUUUGAGAAAUUAAUGGAGGAAUUUUCCUAAACUGCCGCCUCAAUUUACGAAUUAACUAAGGAAUUUUCAAAGUUCCUGCCUAAUGAAUUUCGAAAGAAACUAUUGAAAGAAUUACAAAAGUCAAGUAUAUUAGCAAAGGGACUGCCAGUGAAACUCCCAAAGAAAUUGCUGAAGGGAAUAUCGUAGGGUUUGCCUGAUAAAUUUCUAAAGCUAUUGCCCAAAGAAUUUCGAAAAGUUAUGUCGUAGAUAUCUUGAAAAAUUAAAACUUAAAUCAAUUUCGAAUAUUAUUGCCCAGAAAUUUUCGAAUGAGUUAAUGAACCAAAUUUCAAACGAACUGCCGAUAUCGUUUAAAAAAAUUUCAAAAAAAAACCCCAAAACAAUGUUAUAGCAAUUUUAGGAUCAAAUCCUAGAAAAAUGGCUAGAAGGAUUUCCAAAAGCUUUGUCAAAAAAUGACUUCGCCAAAGGUAAUAUGAAAGAUUUCCACGGGGUAGCUCACAGGAAAUCCACCGAAUGCAUAGCCAAAGUAAGUUCCUCCUCUCUCUCCUCUUCUUGGCGUAACGUCCUCACUGGGACAAAGCCUGCUUCUCAGCUUAGUGUUCUAUGAGCACUUCCACAGUUAUUAACUGAGAGCUUCCUCUGCCAAUGACCAUUUUGCAUGUGUAUAUCGUGUGGCAGGCACGAAGAUACUCUAUGCCCAAGGAAGUCAAGGAAAUUUCCUUUACGAAAAGAUCCUGGACCGACCGGGAAUCGAACCCGUCACCCUCAGCAUGGUCAUGCUGAAUACCCGUGCGUUUACCGCCUCGGCUAUAUGGCCCCAAAGUAAGUUAUUCCCAGUUAUUUUACCAGAAGAUUUUUCAUACGAAUUGUCAAAAAAAAAACAACGAGAAGUUGUAAAUGGAAUUUCCAAAGAAAUUUCUGUAGAAAAAAUAUUCUGGAGAAGUUCGCAAUGCCAUUUCUGAAGUAUUGCCGAGAACUGAUCAAAGAAGUUUCCAAAGUAAUUGCUUAACAAUUACUCAAAAGAAUUGCCGUAGGAAUUUUCAGUGAAACUUGUAACAGAGUUCCUAAAAAAAUCUCGAUAGUUUUUACCAAAGGAAUUGCGUACACAAUAGCUGAGACAAUUGCCAAAGAAUUUCUUUAAAAAUAAUAAAGGAUGUCGAAGGAGUUUCCAAAUAAAUUUUCAAAGAUAUGCCCUCACGAAUGGGCCUUUUCAUUUGACGUCUUAAAUCAACUGAUUUCUCGGGCCUUUGACAGUUCUCCAAUGAAAAUGACAGUUUAGCGUUUGCGCCUUUGAUCAGCAAUUGUAAACAGUGGCAUACACAUACCUGUCAACUGAAAAGGCCUAUUGCUGCACGGAUUUCCAAAGCAAUUACUGAAAUAGAUCCAAAAGAACUUUCCAAAGGAAAAUUCUAAUAAAAAAAAUGUAAAAUUUCUUUCAGGAAUUAUCAAUAAAAUUCGUCCAAGAAAUUUAAUUGGAAUUUUUUUUAUGAACUCUUAAGGCAUUCUUCCGAGGUUUCCAUCUAUUGAUACCAUUAAAGAUUUACUUAGCGAUAACACCAAUUUCGUUCGAAUUUUCUUCACGAAGCUUCUAAGAUUUUUUUCUUAGGAUUUCAUCAAGCAUUUGUUCCAAAUGAGGAACUCCAAGAACUCUUUCUUAGAUAUCUUUUACGAUUCAUCUAGGAAUAACUUCAAGAACUUCUUUACAAAUACCUCCAAGAUUUGUUUCGAAAGUUGCUACAGCGUUUCUGAAGGAAUUUAUGUAUUCCCAAGAAUUCCCAAGAAUUCCAUAAAGAGCUUCUUAAAUAUUUCAACAAACGAUUGCUUUGGGGCUACCCCACAUGAUCCCUUGAGCAAAUCUUCCAUAGGAAUUCUUUAGGAAUUCUUUUAAGAUUUGCUUUUAGAAAUUUCUGCAAGAAUUCUUUUUGCAGUGCCACAAAUGGUUUUUUUUGAAGUCCUUUCAAGGAUUUCUUACGAAGCAUUGUUCAAGCAUUUCAAAGAUUUCUUCAGAAGUUCUUCCAAUAAUUGCUGUAUGGAAUCGUCCAAAGAUUCCUUAGGCAUUUUUUUCAAUUGCCCUUUCACGUUUCAAUCAUGAAUCCUUUAAGAAAUUCUAGAGAAGACUUCUUUUUCUCCAAGGAUUUUUUCAAGCUACGUUACAAAGAUUCCUUCAGGGAUAUCCCAACGUUUUUCUUCAGAUAACCCUGCAAGGGUGAACACAUUCAUCUCCAAAGGAUUCCUGCACAAAUUCUCUCAGGGGGUCUUAAAGAGAUUUCACCAAGGCUUUCAUCAGAAAUUUCUCCACGGAAAUCUAUAGAAAUUGUUUUGCAAAUCAACAUCAACGAAUUUGAGAGGAAUUCUUUGAGGUUUGUGCCAUUGAUUUUUUUGAAAAAUAAUCUAGGCAUUCUUCCAAACAUUCCUUUGCCUUCAAAAUUUCUUCAGGAAUCCUUUACGUGAUUCCUCAUAGUACUUGUAGUAGUUCUACUACUACUUUAAAGUACUGUAGUAGUCCGUCAAGAAUGGCAUCUAAGAUACAUAUCUCCAAAAUCAACCUAAUUAUUCUUCCCGAAUACAUCUUAGAAUUCAUCUAGAAGAUUUUUCGAGGAUUCCUUUUAAAAAUUCCUACAAAACUUCCUGCAAGCAUUUUUACAAGGAUUCUUUCGGGAAUUCUUCCAAAAUUCCUUCAGAAAAUCUCAUAAGAAUCCAUUCAAGAGCCAUACCUGAUCAAGCAUAAUCUCAGAAAUUCAUCAAAGGUAUUUUCCAUGAGGAACUCCUGCAAGAUUCCUUCUUGGAGAAGUCUCUAAAAGAAUCUUGGAGAAAUCCCUUAAGGUUCAUCUGCAGAAUUCGUUGAAGGACUUCAUGACAUAAUCCUCGAAGGACUUUAUGAAGGGAUCCAAAGAGGUAUUCCUGAAGGAAUUCUUGGAGGUGUUCAUGAAGGAAUCAAUUCAAGUAUUCCAAAAUCAAUGCUUAGAAGAAUUCCUGAAGUAAUCCAUGAAAAAGUUCUGAAGUAAAUCUUAGAGGAAUUUUUGUAGAAGUCUUUGAAGAUAAAUCAUAUUCCCGAAGGCAAUCUCGCAGAAACCCUUCAAGGAAUACUUGGGAAGAAAUACUUCAUGAAAUCGUUGGAUACAUUGAUUUCACUUAUUUUUCAUACGAAAGCAAAAAAAAAAUAGACAAACUAUUGUUAUUACGGUUUUGACCUGACAUGUGUUCAGAUUUUAAUUUUCAUAACUGCGGCCCCUGAAUUUCAGCUGCCACCUUAAGCUAAGUCAACAACUAUGUUUGGUCCUGUAAAUAGGAUACCAGGGACAUUUUCACAAUGCUCAUGAAUUUUACUUUCAUAUCGAUACUGAAUUUCCCAAAAAUUCAAUUUAAAUUUAAACACAUUUUUCUUUUAAUUUUGGGGCCACCUGUGUGCCCCAUUCCAAAAAACUCUUGAUAAUCACGAAGGGGCCCCCACAUACCUAUUAAAAGUUCUGCGAAGUGUUGAACUUAUAGGAAUCUUUCGCUAUUUAAAGUACUUUAUUCUAACUAGUGUUAAAAAACCUUCCUUGAUUUGGAGGCCCCCUGAAAUCGGGGGCCCGGUGCGGACCGCACCCAUCGCACCCCCCCCCCCCCUUGCUACGCCACUGCAGGUUACAGCAAAAUGUUAUUGCGAACAUAUCAAAUUGUAAAUGAUCCAACGAAAAUCAACAAACGAUUAUUAAGAAUUCUUUGAAAACUCAAAGCACUCUAACAAGUGUGUACUGAAAUGAUCACCUAUAUCUGUUUGCGACAACAAAAACUCCUUUCCGUCAUGGAGCAAUAGAGGUGAUCUCGGUCUCUAGCAGCAACGCACAUCAUACUAAUAUUCUUUCCCUUCCUUGAUGACCGUAAGGACGUAGCCGGCGCUUUUGUUGACUUGAAAAAGUUUGCAAUUUUCGAAGGUGCAAUUUCGAUUAUUCUGGUCAAUCACGGUGGAGUAACUACGAAUUGUAUGGUCAUCCAUGUUCAUGCUCAUGUUUAUAUUAUUUAUUCACUUGAAAAACCAUAAAUGCAGAGCACUUCGCUGCAAUUCAGCAUACCAAAUUUCCACAUUCAACAUUCCAAGGCUCGUUGGCAGCAGCAACGAGACCCAAAAAACCAUCGAACCAAACGUACCUGCACUCGGACGGACGCCAAUACCGCCGAUGUCCAAACAAAGCGGCAUGUUUCGCGUGAACACGUCUAAAUAUUGUUUAUCACGAAAAAGUUUGUUCUCACCGCAUAUUAGCCGCGGUUCACUGGUUCCACUGGUGUGGUCUUUCGUCGGUCGGUAGUUAGUAUGUAAAAUCGACUCAGUACCCGGGCUGCGAUCGAAAUUAUAAAUAAUAAUGCAAUCCAUCAACGGUUGCCACUAGGUACGAGGAGCGCUCAGCUUAGAACUACGCAUACGACCGUUUGGUAGUGGCUCCAAUUGCAUAAGCAACUUGCACUAAUUGACGACGUAACCAGGCCGCCUCGCAGCGGCAGCAGCGGCGUCGCCGGUCAUUCCGCAUAAGGUUCAUGUCAAUUAGGUUUCAUUUAAUUACUUCCAACAAUAGUGGCGCUUUGGCGGUUCACAGUAUUUUAACGAAACUUGACUUGAACAAUUCGAUACCCAAGAAACUGAAAACGUGCCUCGAUUUAAAUGGUUUCCGUCAUCAGAAUCAAUAGGAAAUACGAUCGACAAACGGUCAGUGACCUACGGUCCAAAGAUCCCUGCCUUCUGUGAGCAAAUGGUUUUAGAUCAUAUACAGUUUCACACGACGGUAGUUCGCACGUUCAAACGCCCACUCAAAAACUAGUGCUAACUGAUGGCUCUCGCGGUUUGAACCAAUUUAGGUUUCACUUCUGCACGGCCAAAUAUAUCAUGCUAAAUUGUUGCAAAUUUGCUCGCCUAUCUCUGGCGCUACUGGCCUGGAACCAAAUCAACCCAGCCUCGCAGUGGACUGUAUCGCCUUUCAAUCGACCCACACGCUUCGGGAUAGAUGUCGAUUUCGUCGGGGGAGAAUUUUUUACACACUCGCUUGCUCGACUAGAGCUACGGGAGCAUCCAUAAAUCUAGUUUAUUAUAGUAGGUAGCUGCAGUGUUGGGAAUACUCACUAGCUAAAAGUUAUACUCACUUGCUUCUAUCUCAGUCCAGAAGCAUGCUAUCAAAAAAUGAUGUUUGAAGGGCUUUUAGAUUGUUGUUUAAUCUAAAAGUUUGCCGAAUAUAGUGAAGGUCGCAAACGCAUACCAAAGUUAUGAAAGAGCUGUGAGCACAAGGUGAGUAUAAAUUACACGAAUUUUACUCACCUCGUACUCACAGCUCUCUCACAACUAUGGUAUGCGUUUGCGAUCUUUACUUUAUUCGGCAAACUUUUAGAUUAAACAACAAUCUAAAAGCCCUUCAAACAUCAUUUUUUGCAAGCAUGUUUCUGGACUGAGAUAGACGCAAGUGAGUAUCACUCUUGCAAGUGAGUAUUCGCAACACUGGGUAGCUGUGCGAAGGAUUCAAUUUUGCGCUCUUUCCGUAGUAUCUGGGAGACAGCUUUUCGUUGAAAAUUUAACAACGGGCAUUUUAUAACCGUUGGCGUUGGAUUAUCAUAUGAGCGCAAAUGUCACAAAGGAUCAUAACACUAGUUUACAAAAUAAAACGAAAGUCGUGAACUUCUGUCAACGACCAAAAUUUUUGAAGCACAAUUUAGUACUGAUUUUGAAACCGUGCUUCAAUUUUUUUUAAGUAGAGCACUUUUUGAGUUUUAGCUCAAUAUCGAGUUUUACAACUUUUAAAAAUAUAGAAUAUACCAAAAUUCAAAUAUCUUGCGUUUUGUUCAACCAAUUUCAAAUCUUUUUCCAUAAAUUAAAAGCUGAAUACAAUACAAUUCGAUCAUCUGAAUGCAGGUUUAGCGUCAGAUUGAUGAAAUUCAAGAUAUUGGCGAGUUUUAGGGACGAUCUUCUUAAAUUUUAGCCAAAUUUCCAAAAAUAUAUGAAGAAAUGUAUUUUUUUCAAUAAGAAAAAAACAAUCUAAAAAUUCUUUCUCAACGUUUAUUUCACAUAUCAUAUGUAGGCGAGUUACAGUAAAAAAUUCAGCUCAAUCGGAGCAUUGAUUACGGAGAAUGAGAUGUGUGAAGUGAGCGACGUUGCUUAAAAAUAGAACAAAAAUCGAUUUCAAAUCAUCAACCUUGUAUGGAAAGUCGAAAAAAUUUCCGCUCUACUGUAAUUUUUUUCCUUCGCGUUUUCGAACUCAGGGCAUGAUUCUACACCAAAAAUGAUCAUCAGCUUACCGAGUUCAAAAAUGCUGUAAACUAGUGUAAUUAAGGACAGACUUGUUAGCAGGGCCCUACAUUUUCAAUUUCAAUUGAAAUUUUCAGGUGAAGUUUGUAAACAAUGUUUUCAAUCGUCAAUGGAAGCAAGGCGCCGUCGUCGUCGCCCAGUCCGACUGUCAUCGUCACCGAUGAACCGACGGUGCUGCGCCGUCGCCGAUGCCGCUUUGUUUCGCACUCACAAGCUCAUGCACGCUCGUUUGACAUCAAAUAAAUUUCUUUGUUGUAACUCCAUUAAUGAGUGUAACAACCGACAAAUCUGUGUAAUGUUGAUGUAUGCUAUGCAUAUUUUACUGAAAUAGUCUAUUACCCAUAAAAAAAAUUAAGCAAACAAACAUUUUAGAUAAUUUGAAAAUUUCAAUUGAAGUCCAGUCGGUGUGAAAAUGAGCCGCCGCCCGUCGUUGCGUCGAAGAAAGCAACAAAAAAACGGAUGAAGCGAAGCGCUUGGAUGUUGUUGUGAAUGUUCCCGUCGUCGGCGUCCGUCCGAUGCUGAUGGGCGCUCGCUUUCAGCGUCAUGUUUUGGUUUCGACGAUGUAGGCCCCUGCUUGUUAGAAUCCCAAAAUGGCCACCAGAAUGGCCGACUUUGGCACCUACUCACGAUUUUGAGCGCACAAAUCUCUUCGUAAACAAAUCCAGCGCACCUGGUCCUCUUAUUUUAAGCUUAUUACAAGUGAGCAAGAACAGAAUAAUAAAAUGCACUGUGGUUUGAAGCUUGCUUCUUGAGAUUUGUGCGUCUGAAAUUCUGAUGCACUGUUGAAGCGGGAUUUAAAGACGUUUGUCCUUAAAGGCGAAUCUCUUUAUGGUGUCUACCAUUUUAUGAGAGCUGGUUUACAAAAUACUAGAGUGUUGUCAGCUUUAAUUAUAUUUCACAGAUGGAUUUACCGAAAGUCCGAAAGUAGUAAAUCCGAAAGGUAAAGUGAUUUAUGGGAAGCUGAUUGCAAAUUUUCGUUUUUUCAUCUUCAAACCAAGAUUUAUUAGUGUUUCAUUUUUACAAUUAACCUACAAACUUCUCUCAAAAUGUAUGGCAAUUUUACUGCCAUAAGAGCAGCAUAUGAAUUGUAUCCAUGUAAAAAACAUUCUAAGCAUGUACAUACGAGUUUUGUGAAGUAGAAAGAAGUACCUGGACUCUUGAAAAGUCACUCUUCAAUAUCUACAGUGUUUAAGACAUUCACUAACCCUACAUGCACAAUAGACAACACUCCUUGUUCUUCUUCUUCUUGGCGUAACGUGCUAACUGGGAUGAAGACUACUUUUAAGGUUAGCGUUCUAUGAGCGUUUCCACAGUUGUUAUUUGAGAACUUCCUGUGCUAAUGACCAUUUCGCAUGUGUAGGGAAUUUUCAUUGCCUACUGAACGUGCCUGACCCGACCGGGAAUCAAACCCAACCCGAGCAGAGGAGAAUAUCAAAUUAAUAACUACGAAAUAACAUAACCUGUUUUUAUAACUUGGUUUGUUAUUAUUACCUUAUCAAGGCAUUACUUCUCCAUAACAUCUUUUGUUGGGCAAUCCAAUUUUGUUAUGAGCACGGUAUUGGUAUACAUUCAUUAAAUGACAUUUAAAUAAUAUGUUUUGUUGUUAAACAAAUUGAGUUAUUAUUGAACUAUAGAGUGUGCAUGAAUAUUUAAUCAUCAAUACCACAACGAUAACAAGUUUUGAAAUCAAAACUACAUCAUUAGAUUUACGUUGUUUUGAGCAUUCCGUGAUGGGGAACCCAAAAGAACAUGAUUUUACGAUUCCAAUAAGGCCAACGAGCCAACUUACAAGAUGUUUUCGAUCAGUUGGUAAAAUUCCAGGAGGAACUUAUUGAAAGGUUUAUUAGAAAAAUACCAUAAACUUCAGACUAGUCUUCUGGGGAAAUUAAAAAAAUUGGGUCGAUUAUGGUGAAGAGAGGGGGCACUCUAUCUCCCUCGUGGCAUUUACCAUACCUUAUAUUGAACAUAAGGUACAUUAUUAUAUUUCAGGUAUAUUGUAAUUAUAACUAAUUUUGUUUUUAAAUUAUUGUCAAUAACAUAGAAAGUUCAAAAUUUGUUGUUCAAAUAUUUUUAAAUUCAUUAUUUUCAAGUUGUUAUUGAAACCAACAAAGUAUGUUAUCAAAUUGGUCUUCCAGGAAAAAAUUUUUGUUAUGAUUUUUGUUAUUUUGCCGCUUAUGACAGACAAGUUUAUAACAUUAUAUAUUAUGUCAUGCCACAAUAGUUCAGCCUAUUGGACGCAGUGGCUUAAUUUCCCCAACAGGGGAGGAAAAAAAAAUGUUAAUAACAUGAAAAUAACUUAUUCCAUAGCUCAAUUAUUUUGCCAAAAUAACGUAUAUUAUUAUGGGGUUGUUAUUUCCUUCUGCUCGGGAAGUUGUGUAGUAGUGCGCGUGUUGGCAAACGUCAAACUGCAAUCCAUCAUGGUGGACAGUGUCUCGCGCUGUUAUACCAACAGGUGGCAGUGUGUUCAUGUAAAAGACAUCGGGCAAAAAGUUUGAAUGAAUUUCCCCUAAAAGUUACGCCUGUUUGUGUGUGGCGAAAUGUUUUUGAUUUAAUUAUAAAGGAAACAGUUUUUUUUUCUGAUUUAAUGAGAAAGUUUUGUAGGGAGUUCCACUUGAGUGAUUCGCCAAUUGCUGAACACUAUCCAAAUGUUGAACAGUUUCUGAAAAUUUUAUCAUGUUUCAGCACAACUUUUUAACUAUCGUUGUAUUCCGGCUGGAAGCUCGGCAGGACUAAUUGAAAAAAAUCCAAGUGGAAUCAUAGGAAAAAUCCCUUGAGGAAUGUCAAAGAAACGAGAAGAAUCUUUGAAGGGACCACAGCAAGAAUCCUGGCAUGAAUACCUGAAAGACUCCCGUAAGAUUCCCUGAAGGAAUCUUUGAAGGAAUACAAGGAGAAAUGCCUGAAGCCAUUCUUGCAAGAACCACUAAAAGAAUCCCUUACAAAAUCCCGGUAGGAUCUUUGAAGGAAUUUCCCUGAAAGAAUGCCGACUAAAACAUUUGUCAAAUCAAAAUUUUCUAAAGCAAUCCCGGCAGAAAUCUCUAAAGGAAUCUCGGGAGGAUUUCCUAACGGAGUUUUGGGAAACAUAUCUGGUAGAAUCGUGAGAGGGAUCUCAACUGGAAGCUCGACUAAAACAAGCACGGAAGAAAUCCCGAGAGGAAUUAUUGGAGAAAUACCGGGUGAAACCCCGAGAGAAUUCCCUGAAAAAAAAAUCCGAGAAUAAUCGUUUAAGUAAUUCCAUCAGGAAUCCGUGCACGAAUGCCGACUAGAAUUUCUGAAAGAAUCCUUUCACGAUUUGGUAAAUCAGGGAUUAGUUUAUUACUGAAGGAAUCCCGUAGAGAAUACCUGAUGGAAUCCUUAGAGAAACCAUGGCAGGAAUCUCGUAUAGAAGCUCAGCAGAAAUUCUUGAAAGAACCAUAGAAGAAAUCCCGGAAGGAAUUAUUGAAGAAAUCUGUGAAAAAACUCGGGAAGAAUUUUAGGAGGAAUCCCAUCAGAAUAAUCUAAGGUUACCUGAUAAAAAUCUCGGCAGAAAUCUAUAUUCUUUUAUAUACCUUUUCGGGAAGAAUCCCCAAUAGAAUCACAGCAGGAAUGCCGAAUGGAAUAACUAAAAGAAUCCUUUCAGGAUUUUCUAAAGCAAUUCCUGUAGAAAUCCCUGAAGAGAUCUCAGUAGCAAUCCCUACAGCAAUUCCAAAAGGAACAUCUGAAGGAAUCUCGGGAGAAAUCCUGGGAAGAUUCUCGCGAGAAAAGCCGAAAAAAAAACCCCGGAAAGAAUUCUAGAAAGUAUCUCAAGAAAAUCUCACCUUCUCUUAUCCUCAGCGUCUUACCGUCCACAUCACCGUCUUCUCUGCCUUCUAUCCCAAACCUCUAUCCUACGCUUUACCCUAACCCUCAACCCUACCAUCUACCCUACCCUCUACUCUAUCCUCUACCACAUGGUCGCCAGUCUUCAUCCAGGGGGUCGCGAGGGACAGUCCAAUAUUUUACUGUAACAGACAAAAAAUGAGGGAAUUUCUAUGGUGGGUCGCGAAAAGUACCCAGUAGACCGAUGCAAAUUUUGAAAUUUUCGCUCCCCUAUGCUUAAUCGAUGCCAAUUUGGGUUCUAAUUGUACUACUCAAAUUUGAGCUCAUUUGAAUUAAAUUUGACUGAGCACACGCCAUUCAAAGUUUGUAUGGGAAUUACUAUGAAAAAGUCAAACUUUCAUUUGCACGAGUUGAAACUAUUUUCCACGUUACCUUGAAAAUGAAACCGAUAUGGAUUUAUAUAGAUUACAUUGUCAUCUUUCAUAUUGCUGAAGACGCCUAACACGUAAAACCAACAGAAAAAUUGUUAUUCAAUAACAUAUGACUUUAAAUCUUUUGAAAUGAUGUUUCUCUUUACUUUUUGGGAACACUGCGAGUGGAAAAUUUUGCCUAGUAGGCCAGCGGAAAAUUUUUCAAUGUAAAUGUCAGAAUGAAAACGUGAUGACAUGCAACAAAACGAAAGAUAGCGGCUUUAUUGCUGAAUGGGUAGUCAAUUAGGCCAGGAAUAACAAAGCGGAAACAAAUAAUGACAAACUAACUGAAAAGAUACUUCCAUUUCCGUAUUCUCUGAACCAAAUACAAACGACCGGGCCAACAUGGAAAACUUUAAUGCUAUUUUACCUAUCUAUAGAUAGCAGUAUACUGCUAACGUUCGACAACUCGAAACAUUUUAAUCCUUCAUCAAGAUAUGUAUGGUCAGCCAUAAUGUUAUGAAGUACAGUCCGUCCGCCUUUGCCUGAAUCACCCCAAAUUUCUUCCAUGCCGCCUGUGGACGACGGGUUUCCAUAAGACGCUUUCUCAACAUGAUGGGCUAGCCGGAAUCCAUGCCUGUGGCCUGUUCAUAAGCUACGUAGAUGAUUGGGAGAGGUGAUCUGGCAAAGUCUACAGUCUAUCCAAAUUUCAAAAUAUGUAUGAACGGAAUUCUACGAGAAAAGAUGAUAGGGGGAAGAUUUGAGAUGAUUAAAUUAUGAGUGUGUAGUUUAUGGAUAGCACCCUUGAUAGCACCUAUGCAAAUCAUCAAAGCAAUAAUUUAAAAGUCUGUACGAAGGAUCAGUUUUGGUCUAUUGAUGGAUUUUCUUGAGGUACCAAAGUUAAGAUUUUCAAUAGAAAGAGAAAAUUUCCAAAGUACAUUAAUCAUUCAUUGGCAUUGAUGCUGGGGCGGAUUGUUAUGUUCUUGUUAUGUCAUUUCGUUUUGCAAAAUUUUCCGCUGGCCUACUAGGCAAAAUUUUUCACUCGCAGUGUUCCCAAAAAAUUUGGAUAAACAUCAUUUCCAAAGGAAUAAAGUUAUAUUUUAUUAAAUAACAAUUUUUCUGUUGGUUUUACGUGUUAGGAGUCUUCGACAAUAUGAAAGAUGGCGAUGUAAUCUAUAUAAAUCCGUAUCGGUUUAAUUUUCAAGGUAACGUGGAAAAUAGUUUCAACUCGUGCAAAUAAAAGUUUAACUUUUUCAUAGUAAUUCCCAUACAAACUUUGAAUGCCGUGUGCUCAGUCAAAUUUGAUUCAAUUGAGCUCAAAUUUUAGUAGGAUAAUCAGAAUCCAAAUUAGCAUCGAUUAAGCAUAGGGGAGCAAAAAUUUCAAAAUUUGCAUCGGUCUAGUACCCAGCCUUCACCCUUUUACUGAUCAAGCCCGUUCGAUAGAUACCCAUAUGGCAUGGUAUCAUAGCUCAAACUACCACUCCGUGGCCGCCAUCUUUUGAGUUCUAGCCAUCACACCGUAUCGAUAGAUACACAUAUUGCAUAGUAUUCGAAACCGCAUUGCCGUAAAAUAGCUUACAUUCUUGAGUGUUGGGCGCCAUCUUGGAAUCUAAACCGCCAUAUUGAAUUCCAACACGCUACACCCAACACCAACUUAAAGAAUGUGUUUGCCAAAUUUAGUUGAAAUUGCUUGACGCAUUCCAGAGUUAUGCCGGAACAUACAUAUAUACAUUUCAGUCCACCAGAACUCUCUUCAAAUGAAAACGAUUACUUGUAAUUUGAAUGAGUUAUCUCUUUAAUAACUGGGCAUAGAACACGAAAACCCCGGAAAAAAUCGACCAGACUGAAAAAUUAGGGUAAACAGGUUUAAUAUGCCCCCCUUAAGCAGAAAUAGCAAUAUGUCUGAAACUGGCGCCUUAUUCCAUAUAUUGUCCACUGCAAAUCGUUGUUUCUAAAGUCAGUGAAGUGUUGCAUGCGAACUUGGCCUUUGGAGGGGCGACUAUGGAAGCUUUGAAACGUUUUACGAAAACAUUCAAAAAUUUGCCUUUUCAAAACAAACGGGGCAAUACGCCCCAUCAAAAGAGAAACGUCUAGCCCCGUGAUAAAACUGUCCCAGGGGAUAAUUCCACCACAUGCUUAUCCUAGGAGAGUCCUUUAACAAGUGUUUAACUGUAUAAAAGUUGCAAAAUAACACAAGCGAACAGAACUAGCUUGGUGUACAAUGAAGUCAGCUUACAAGAGGUAAAAUAUUACCCAAGUAACACAGAAAACAUCUUUGAAAAUGUAAUUUGAAAAAGAUGUUGUAAUACAGUACUAUAAUCGUAUCUGUACACAUCUUUUGUUGAAAUCAUGUUUUAUCUAUGUUUGGCAAUUACAAGCUACUGAAAAUUCUUAUCAAUCUCAGCACAAAUUACAGUAACGUAAAUUUAACGUUGAUUACACCAGCUUUUUGUAACACCAUCUUCCUGCAAUUAAAGACGUUAUGUAGAAAAUCGGCAGCACAUAGUUAUAACAUUUGGACUCAAAUAUGUUACAACAACGUUUUUUUUACGUAUUAAAUACGUUAAAUGUACAAGUUUACCCGUUCGCUGUCUUUUCUCAUUCACAUCAAAAUUAUUUUUGAAAUAUAUUUUGCCUUUAAAAUACAAGGCAAUUCAAUUAUUACAUCAACUAUGACAGCACUUAUAUUUCAUGCGCUUUGCUUGUUGAUCUCGCUACGAACUAGCAAAACACAUUGGUAUAUGAAUAUUACCUAAAAAGUUGACGACUAAGUAACUCACUUUAGGCCUGAAUGGCUGGGAAGAAUCAAGUCACCAUUGAAGUUUACAUAUAUGGUGGGCCUUUUAUCAGCUAAUAAUCACUUUAUGUACUUACUCGACGGCUAAAUCUUACUUCGAAGCACAGUUUCAACACUAAAUUGACCCCAAAAAAUCAUAGAAAACAAUUUCCUUAUAUUGGCUCCAUGAAUUCCACUCUAACAUUGUUAUUGUUAUAUUUAUGCUCAAAACUGGUAUCCAAGAACAAAAAUUACACCGUUGUUUGCUAUUUGGAAAUGGAUGUUCAAAAUACGUUACCAUGAUGUUUUACCAAUGUAUUUUAAACGAUUCAAGUGGUAUUCGACAAACACGUCAUUCAGAUGUUCAACAGAAGUAAAUUGAACGUUUUUCUUAAUGUUUUGAAUUCUUCUUUAUCAGUCCAGAUAAAUUACAGUACUUGCUAGAAAGUUUCAUACAAACAUUUUUAUUUAUAAUCAUUUGCUCAUCUACAUGUUUUUCUCCCCCUAGUUAUUUAUCUGUGAUAGUUUAAACAUUUGAUAAAAUUCAAAAAAAUCCUUAUCCAUAACGACUAAAAAUUCUACAGUCAUAAGCAUUUCCGUAUUCAUAAUUGAAAAAUGUUUUUUUAAACUUCCUAACGGUACUGUAUCUAGAAGCCACCAUGUUUCAUGUCCGAAAAUUUGUUGGAAAAACCUACACAAAUCAGAGAGACAACAAAAACCUCCCUUCUUAUUUCCAAUCAGAUGGAAAGCAAAUGAAUUUAUGAAGAGUGAAUAUACUUAUUUCACCAUAAAUUCUGAUUGGCACAUGAAAUUAAGCCAUGGUGGCCAAACAUCGAGAUGAUAGAUUGCAAAUAAAACUUAGGGGAUUUUAAGCCAUCACCAAAUGACACAUAAAAAUUGACAUAUUUAUUUGCAUAGUGCGCGUUUGAUUAUUUUUUUUUCUGCCAGCAACAAAUAAGUUUGUACAACGUUGCUGAGAAGUUAUUCAAUACUUAAUUAUAUGUUAUAUUAAUGUAUUGAAAAACAUCUUUAGUAGUAUCAAAGAUGUUUUAUAAGCCGCCAUUUUUUGCGCUUUUCCGGUGAUAUAAGUGUACGAAAAUACGUUUUUUAAUAUUUUGAACAGAACAUUGACGUUUGUAUGAAACAUGUAAUAUAUACAUUAUUGUAACAAGUUGUGUUACUUGGGUACGCCAAAAGCCUCGAUUUCUGAGUUUUUGAUAUUUGUCUUGCUUUUCUGUACCAAUCAACUAACAGACCAGCUUGAUGGCAAUUAUUCUUCAAUAUUUAAGAUUUCUAAUCCAUCACGCAUGCGAAAAGCACUUGAAUCGUUAGAAAAUUAAGAGGGGCGUUUUGCCCUGGUGGGGCGCAUUAUACCCUUUUACCUUACUGACGUUCUCUAGAUAUUUUCAAACUACAGUGCUUGAGCUUGAUUGAUCGCCCGUAGAUGCUACUCUAGUAUCGCCAUACCAGCUACACUCACACAAGGAACCCAUAUAUGCCGGGGACUAAGCAGGCAUCUUCAGUGUGUGAGUGUUGGUGAUCUUCUAUUUUUAGGCGGCAAUGGCGUUUGCCACGUCAAGUUGCAGGUCAAUGUGGGGAAGGGUAAGGAAGUGAUGAUUGCAAUCGUUUGUACCCACAGCAGACCGAAUAUAACUCUGCGCCGCGUUGGUGAGAUAUGGUUGGCAAUGGGUUCACACAUUGGUGCGUGGAUGCCUGGCGUAAGGUGAUAGAUUAGUGUAUUUAUUACUCUGAAGAUAGUGCGGCACAGUUGGUUUGAUUGCAUAACUUGUAGGCGUUAUAUGAUAGAUUGACACUGUGCUAGGAAAUUUGGAAGGAAUGGAAACGGCUUUUUCAACCCCUUUCUGUUCUAGCGAUGGCUAUAUCGGCACCAACAUUUCAAAAGGGCGUAACUGCAUUUUGAAACAAACCCCUCUUUCACAUCUGUAGAUCGUAUUUCAAUGCCGCCAUGCAAAUCACCGCCAGUAUAGGAAAGAAGAGCAAUUUCACUGUCUAGUAAUGUUUGUGAAUUUCGUGGGAAACUUAAAAUAUGACCCACAGAUGUGAAAGAGUGGUUUGUUUCAAAAUGCAGUUACGCCCUUUUGAAAUGUUGGUGUCGAUAUGAACAUGUGAAUAUACAUGAGCUAGUUUGAUUUCAUAUAGCACGAGAAAUAUGAUAAAGUGGACACAUCUACAUUUUAAUUGACUUUAUCUAGUCAGAAAGAAACUUAACAUUCAGUAUUUCAGUAACCUGAAUCUGCUACCAAGAAUUGUUGAAUUUAAACAUUUUAUUUUAUUGGAUCUAAUAGGCAUCCUCAGUGUGUCAGUGUUGGUGAUCUUCUAUUUUUAGGCAAGAAUGACGUCUGCUACGUUGCUGGCUGCUGGUCAAUGUGGGAAAGGGAGCAUCCAUUAAGUACGUCACGCUAAAAUUUGGAAUUUUAGACCCCCCCCCCGCUUCGUAUGGGUUUUUCCUAUACCUAAUACAUUGCUUGUCACAAUUUCAUGAAGCCCCUCCCCCUAGGAUCGUGACGUUCUUAAUGGAUGGCCCCAAAGGGGAGGAAAGUGUCAAUUGCACUCACUUGCCGACUUCAGGCCGUUGAGUCCUCUGCGCCUGCAUCAGGUCAUGCGUUGUCAAUGUUGUUGAGAAAUGGUUAUUUUUGACAGAAGCUUCAAACAUUGCAUUGGUGCUUGGUUGCCAAGUGUAACGUGAUAUAUUGUGUUAUUACUGCGAAAAUCUGGCACAGUUCGCAUAGUUGCAUAACUCGUUAUGUGAUAGAUUGACACUGUGCUGUGUAAGGAAAGAAAAGGGCUUGCUCAUUCCGUUUCCAAUUCUAGCGAUGGCUAUGAGAAUACGACUAUAUACUUAUGAGAUGUAUAGGUAAAGUUUUUUUUUAUAGGUGAGAGAGAAAGUAUAUAAAAAGAUUCAAAGUAGGAGGAAAGGGACAGCCAGGGAUUGUACCCAAGACUGCAUAUGAAUCAGAAACGGUAGCCCGUUACAGCAGCUUCAAAAAAGUCGCAUCAGAACAGAGAUGCAAAAUUAUUUUAUUAAAAAUUUGUAUCAACACAGAUGUUUCUGUAUCGCCGUAUUUGAUGGUAUAGCAGACAUCGAGUCCUAGAUUUCAAUAGAAACUAAUAAAAAUGAACUGCAUUUUGACGGUGUAUAAUUUUUACUGGGGUUAUUUUUUGUAGGACAUGUGUGAAAAUGCACAAAUUUUCAUUAAUUCAUCAAAGUUUAAGUAGCAAUUUAUAAAGUUUUCAUUAAAUUUAUUGAAAAUAACUUCAAAUUUUAUGCUUUCUGGAGAAAUCUGUAACACAUUUUAAAAAUCUGUACUCUGUAUCUUGUCUGUAUAAAAGGUCAAAAAUCUGUAUAAUACAGAAAAAUCUGUAUAUCUGGCAUCACUGCAUCAGAAACACUAAUCCACAAUUCAUCAAAUCAGAUGAACACAAACAAUCUUACAAACUUUCAAAAACUUUCUGCAUCAGUGCGGCUAGUCAAUUUUCCAAAUUACCCUUCGGGAACGUCACUCGCCCGCCACUAAAACUGACGAAUCGAGAGUCGACCAUGAAUCCAGGAACUUCCCAUCUCCGUAAUUAGUCUGCCAAACCGAUUUGUAGCCAGACACUCAUUGGAAAGCAGAUGAUCGCUCGGUUGAUCGCGCGCGUGUGUUAGAAGUUGUCUGGCUUCGUCCGUUCCAUGAUAUUCCAGCAGCAGAACAACCCCAUUCUAUCGAACAUUUUAUUGCCCACAUGUGCUCGAUCGUGGAUGACUGCUCUUUUCCUUUACCGUCGUCGUUACGGAGCAAUGGUUCGAAUGUAUAAGGUUUAUAUAUUACAACUGACUGGUUACUACUGUGUAAUAGCCAUGCCGGGCUGGUGUACGCACUGCAGCAAGAGACACUACGAUCCUACGAUAGUAAUACGAUGAUCUUCCCAGAAACGUGAUCGUAGCGAGAGCCAGCUCAAAAGCAGUUAAGAGGAAACAGAUCUAAUAAAAGUUUUUCUAGCACCCUUCUAGAGUAAACAACUCUCCACAACAGCAGUCCCCCACUGGGGGUUGCAGAUCGACGCGGGAGACUUGAUCAGGCCGAAUCACAGACACACACCCAAACAUUCACGCAUCAUGGCGGGGAGUCCCGGCCACCACGCCAGCGGAAGAAAAUUAAUGCCUUUCGGACACUCGACCUUGAUGUAAUUUAUUUAUUGCAAACAGCUGGACAGCAGCAGCAGCAUCACCCUCGCUCGCUCGUUUCGUCGUCGUCGUAAUUCGUCUGAUGUUGUCUGACUUGUCUACGUACGGUGUUCAAUACGGAGCGUUUGGUCAUCGGGCCUUACCUACUUUGCGCGCGGAGGUUACUCAUUUCACUUUCGGCUUCGCGGUAAAAUUUCCAUCAGUCGGUAUACAAUAUGUUUGGACGUUGAUGUGUUCGAGACGACCUGUCUGCUGCUGAAUCGGGCCUCGGGAGAUCUGUUUUUCUCCCUUUAUUUAAAUUUUCGAGGUUUUAAGGUGUGUUUCUGUUGUAUCCAUAUUGAUGAGCGCAUGGUGAACAGACAGUCAGACAGAUAGACAUCCCACGUGCGGUGAUCAUAUACAUAGCUAUUGGCAGCUUUACCGAAUGUUUAUGCCCUAGACCGGCGAAUGAUAUUAUGAGAGUGCGGUGGAAUCAUCUAUCCUAUACACAAGAGCCGCCACGCACCGAACGGCAUAUUUAAUGAUGGCACCUCUACGUGGGGUGCGGUAGUUUACAUGAUUUUGAAGUGACGCUAAAUGGGUGGUGAUUGAUAUCCGAUUUGGAUUGUGUUUGGGCUUGUGGAACUGUAAAUAUUAGCAUAUUUUGAGGAAGCUGGCGAUGAUUAAAGAUGUGGGAAAAUCGAGAAACGGAAACGUGAUGAUCACAUCACGGUUGGUUUUCAGAUGGAUGGUGAUUGGUACAUCGUUGAAUUUGUGCAGUCAAUGUUGAAUCGGUUGAAUGAUGCACCUAGAUAUAUUGGGAAAGAUAGAUGAACAUUGAACAACUAUUAUAUAUCGCGGGCGUAUCUGCUAUGAUCGAUUUUUCCUCAUCGAUGGCCGGGAAAUAAUUUUCGAUUAAAUUUGUUGUUCGAAUGCAAAUAGAUGCUAGUUCUAGCCUUCCUUCACUGAAAUGUACCGAGUAAUCAUCGAAAUACUGAUCGUAUAUCCCGCAAUUAUCGAAAUCGAUCAUUGCAGAUACGCCCGUAUGAUACUAAACAUGAGGGAUUUAGGACAUUUGGUCGAAUGACAUUUGGUCGAAUGACGUUUGGUCGAAUGACAUUUGGUCGAAAGUACGUUUGGUCGAAAGGACAUUUGGUCGAAUGGACAUUUGGUCGAAACCCAUUUUGUGGAAGAAGAAGCACAUGACAUUUAGUCGAAUGGUCAAUUCGUCGAAUGGACAUUUGGUCGAAAGGCGCUAACCGAUGAAAAGAGAUUUAAGUGGAAAAAAAAUAUUCUAGAUUUGGGUAUCUGAAUUUAUUUGUUACUGAACUUAUUUGGUUGAAAGUGUGUUUGGACGAAAAAUAUGUUUUCACCGAAAAAAAUCAACAAAUCUCGAAACAUAAAAUUCAACGGUGACGAAAAACCCCACAAAGAAUAGACGUUAAGUUGUAUAGCAAUUUAAUCAUGUUAAUAAUAUCAAACAUUAAACAGCAAAUAUUUCAUUCAAGGGUGUUUAUUAUUAAGGUAACUUGUUUUGCAAUGUAGUUUUCGUUGGCAUUGGUGAAGUAGUUGAUUUUCCAUCGAAGAUUUCUCCUUAUCUUUAAUAUUGGCUCUUCUUCCAAGUUUCAGAAUUUCACUGCGUUUUUGUGUAGCACAUACUGGCUUUUCCAUCAGGUUUCUCCUUCUUUUCAACAUAUGCUGUUCUUUCAAAUUAGUUAUUUGUGCUGACAGUGGACAUUAUGGUUGUGAUUUUUUUAUUGAUGAUUUUUCCUUCUUUUGAACAUGGGCCAUUCUUUCAAGUUUCGUAUUUGUACUAUGUUAAAAUGUUAUGGCUGCUGUCUUUUUCUCAUGUAUUUUUCCUUCUUUGAAACAUAGGCUAUUCUUUCACGUUUAUUAACCCUCCUAGGAUGUUCGGUUUUUCGCACCACGAUGGCGUAAUGCACGUUCAGCGUGCCUGUUUGGAUCAUAUUGACCCCAACAUCGUUUUCCUGUACGCUGUACAAACUGCUGAAUGUUUCAUAAGAAAUUUUUUCCUUUUGAACACAAGCUGUUCUUCAUUAGCUGAUGCCUUUUUUUUAGAUAUUUUUCCUUCUUUCAAACACAGGCUGGUCUUUCCAGUUUACUCAUUUCAUUGCGUCAUGUAUCAACUGCUGAUUUUUUUCAUCAGUGGUUAUACCUUCUGGGGUUUUGUUCAAGUUUCCUGAUUUUAUGUACUAUGUUCAUAUGUUGAAGAUGCAGAUUUUUCAUCUGAUAUUUUUCCUUCUUUUAAACAUAGGCUGUUCUUUCAUGUAGUGUUGCACUUGAACUGAACACGAGUCGAAAAUAUUUAAUAUAAAUGCUUUCAAUGUUUUGAUUGAAACGCAGUAGAAAUUUAACUUGCGUGUCAGAGCUCAAGACCGCCCGUUCAGAUACCGAUUCAGCUCCGAACUCAUAUGUGCUUACUCUAUCGAUAUGUUAUGCGAAUAAACUGGUCCGGUCACCCGGAGUUUCAGAAAAUCCGUCAAUACAUUGUGGGGUUGAGAGGGGAUGAGGUGUAAGAAAAUGUUAUUGAUAGCCAUGACUUUUUGAGAUUUUUUUUUUCUGGAAUAGCCCACCAAUGGACUGAUGACAAGACUGAUUGGUUUGUUGGUUUAUGAUCUUUGAUGGUUAUUGUAGCUGACAUGCCGAACAUAUUCCUGAAAAUCCGGAUUCUCCGAAAACCACGGUAAUCAGACCGGUUCACUCGGAUAAGCUCCCAAUAAAACAUAAGUUUCUGAAUCGAAUCCCAAGAUUAUUCAAAUCUUUGAAAAAUGGCAGAUAUAUAACCAUUUCAGUUUUGAGGAUACCAGGGUAUCAUGCGUUCCAACUUCCAACUGAAGAAUUUUCAAAUAUGUCUGAUCGCAGCGUGCCGAGUUUAAACUUGAACGCGUCACUUUUUUCAUGUUAUCCUCUUAUGGUAGUAUCAUGCACUGCAAGCAAGUAUCAUCAUUCGGGUAUCGCUAGGUGUAUUUUCGGACAUUCUCUCGUAUGAAGUAAAUAGGUACUGCUGAUUUGCAUUGCUCUAGCAGCGAAUGCCACAAGCCGCAGAGCAAUAUGGUCCACUGCACGAAUUUAUGCUGGCCUGCUUACUCUCACGGAAAAUUUGACGUUUGAGCGGUGCCGACACCUCUCAAACGUCAAAUUUCGUGUGAGAGUAAGCAGGCCAGUAUAAUUUCGUGCAGUAAUCCAUUGUUGGUAACGAGAUGAUAGUUUUCCAAUGACAGGUUCAACAAAAGUUUUUUUUCCGUUGAUCUGCGAAUAGUAGCCCCAUUAACGUCGGCAUUCUGCAGUUCACGAGCCAGGUGCGCAAGACGUGUGGGUUGAAUUAAAGUGCUCACGUUCCAAGAUUUGAUUUUCCAAUCGUUAUCCGUAAAUCGCUGCCUGGUCUGUUGCCGUUAAAUCUAUCCGUUUUCUCUAGUUUUGCAUUUUUUCUGGUAGGUGACGGUUUAAAACAGGCUUCCUUACCGGGGCUGCUCUGCCUACAUGGCGCUCAAGGGGCUACCACCUUGGGUACGCACCUCCCUAUUGAGUAUUCGGAACGUACCUACUCAAGCUGAAGUCGGAAAUACAACAGUGCGCGGACUGCCCUACCUGCUAAGCACAUAACUCUUAUCUAGCGGUUUUUGUCAUCGGCUGGUCUAGUGUCUUUUCAUCAGUUAGUG